This 72-nucleotide transfer RNA is filed under the name Camelus ferus (Wild Bactrian camel). It matches the Rfam family "tRNA". Rfam says of the family: Transfer RNA (tRNA) molecules are approximately 80 nucleotides in length. Their secondary structure includes four short double-helical elements and three loops (D, anti-codon, and T loops). The record is from Rfam by way of RNAcentral. Lineage: Eukaryota; Metazoa; Chordata; Mammalia; Artiodactyla; Camelidae.
AAGGGUGUAGCUCAGUGGUAGAGCAUGUGCUUAGCAUGCACGAGGUGCUGGGUUCAAUCCCCAGUACUCCUU